AAUAGUUAAUUUAUUUAUUUAUUUUUUGGUUAUUAAAUUUUAAUAAAAAUAAUUUUUUUGAAUUUUGUUUUAGUAUAUUUUAUAGAAAAAAUAAAUUUAUUAUAGUAUAUUAGUAUUGUGAAAGAAUAUUGAAAUAUUUUGAAAAUUAAAUUUUAAGAAAGAAAUAUUUAUUUUAUGUACCUUUUGUAUCAGGGUUUAUUAAAUAAGUUUUAUUUAUUAUAAAUUUCUCGAAUUUAAAAGAGUUAAUAAAUUAUUAAAGUUAAUGUUGUAUAAUUAUUUUAAAUAAUUUGUUGGUAAUGAAAUGUUAUUCGUUUUUAAAUAUAUCUAGUUUUUUAAGAAAUAAAUUUAAUUUAUUUAUUUUUAAUAUAAUAUUUAUAUAUAUUUAUAUAAUUAUAUUAUUUAUUAAUAAAAAUAUAUUAGGGGAUAAGCUUUAAUUUAUUGUUUAUAAUAAUUUGGGUUAAUUUUUAAUUGUAGGGUUAGAAAUAUCUAUCAAUAAUAAGUUUGUUUUAAUUUAUAAAUUAAUUUUUUUAUUUUUUUUUAUUUAGAUUUUAUAUUAAAAUAAUUAUUUUAAUAAUUUUAAUUAUGAAAUAAUGAUAAAAUUAGUAUAAAUUUAUAUUUAAUUUUUUUUUAUUAAAGAUUAAAUUAAGGAAUUCAGCAAAAUAUAUACUCACCUGUUUAACAAAAACAUGUCUUUUUGAUUAUAAUUUAAAGUCUGGCCUGCCCACUGAAAAAUUUGAAGGGCCGCGGUAUUUUGACUGUGCAAAGGUAGCAUAAUCAUUAGUCUUUUAAUUGGAGGCUUGUAUGAAUGGUUGGAUGAAGUAUUAACUGUCUCAAUUUAAUAAAUUAAAGAAUUUUAUUUUUAAGUUAAAAAGCUUAAAUAAUAUUAGAGGACGAGAAGACCCUAUAGAUCUUUAUAAUUUUUUUAUUAAUAAUUUUGUAGAUAAAAUUUUAUUUUUAGUAUAAUUAAUUAUUUUAUUGGGGUGAUGAAAAAAUUUGAUUAACUUUUUUUAUAGUUUAACAAAAAUAUUUGAAUUUUUGAUCCAUUAUUAGUGAUUAUAAGAUUAAGUUACCUUAGGGAUAACAGCGUAAUUUUUUUGGAAAGUUCAUAUUUAUAAAAAAGAUUGCGACCUCGAUGUUGAAUUAAAGGUUAUUUUAGGUGUAGAAGUUUAAAAUUUGGGUCUGUUCGACCUUUAGCCCUUUACAUGAUUUGAGUUCAAACCGGUGUAAGCCAGGUUGGUUUCUAUCCUUAAUUAAGUGAAAUAUUUUAGUACGAAAGGACCAAAUAUUUAAAUUAUAUUUUUAUUAUUGAAUAAAAUUAAU
This 1320-nucleotide ribosomal RNA is filed under the name Platychauliodes sp. RNAcentral's name for it is "16S ribosomal RNA". The record is from RNAcentral. Lineage: Eukaryota; Metazoa; Arthropoda; Insecta; Megaloptera; Corydalidae.